RNAcentral lists this unclassified non-coding RNA (380 nucleotides) under Hevea brasiliensis (rubber tree). The record is from RNAcentral. Lineage: Eukaryota; Viridiplantae; Streptophyta; Magnoliopsida; Malpighiales; Euphorbiaceae.
GGGAAGAGUUGGUAUGGUAGGCAAUGUGGGCUUGGGCAGCUCAUCAGGAAGAUGGGGAAAAGGUGGCAAUUCAGGUUUUGGCAGAGUGGGAAUUUCAGGUUUUGGCAAGGUUGGAACUUCAGGCAAUGGUGGAAGCUCAACAUUAGGCAGUGGUGGCAGCUCAGGCAAUUCAGGUUUAGGAAGCUCAGGUACCUCAGGCAAUGUUGUCUCCAGGAGAUGACGCGCCUCUACCCUGACUGUGUGGCAGUUCAUCAGGCAAAUCAGCAACAGUGGAAAUAUGAAGAAUGAGGCAUGAAUUUUGGCCAUAGCUUGGAGCACAGACAAGGACUACUUUAAAAGGUAUAAAGAGCUUGCAGCAACUGCUAAAUGUUGAAAUCUGU